Molecule: transfer RNA, 92 nt
Filed under: Pleurocapsa sp. SU_196_0
Lineage: Bacteria; Bacillati; Cyanobacteriota; Cyanophyceae; Pleurocapsales; Pleurocapsaceae
Description: tRNA-Ser
Rfam family: tRNA
About the family: Transfer RNA (tRNA) molecules are approximately 80 nucleotides in length. Their secondary structure includes four short double-helical elements and three loops (D, anti-codon, and T loops). Further hydrogen bonds mediate the characteristic L-shaped molecular structure. tRNAs have two regions of fundamental functional importance: the anti-codon, which is responsible for specific mRNA codon recognition, and the 3' end, to which the tRNAs corresponding amino acid is attached (by aminoacyl-tRNA synthetases). tRNAs cope with the degeneracy of the genetic code in two manners: having more than one tRNA (with a specific anti-codon) for a particular amino acid; and 'wobble' base-pairing, i.e. permitting non-standard base-pairing at the 3rd anti-codon position.
Source: RNAcentral
GGAGAGGUGGGUGAGCGGUUGAAACCAACGGUUUGCUAAACCGUCGUACGAGGAAACUUGUACCGAGGGUUCGAAUCCCUCCCUCUCCGCCA